Long non-coding RNA from Manacus vitellinus (golden-collared manakin), 254 nucleotides. RefSeq lists it as uncharacterized. NCBI's taxonomy places the organism in Eukaryota, Metazoa, Chordata, Aves, Passeriformes, Pipridae. The transcript is spliced from 3 exons. The record is from RefSeq and is a predicted model, not a curated record.
AGAGAGACAAGGCCACAUUUCUUCGGAGCAUCUCCGUGCUGUGCUGAAGCGCCUUGAACCACGGCCUGACCCAGGGCUUGGAUCUGUUCUGUGACAUGUACCAGCUGUCAGAGAACAUCAAGGCGCUGCUGGAAGAAGAGCCAAGGGACCACCUGUGCACAGACCUUCGGCAUCUUUCCAUGCUGGGUCUGGAGAAAUUGAGCUUGGUGGACACAGCGCUGGAGGGCAAAGCCAAAAACCUCCUCUGCACGUGU